GAUGAUUCUUUUUCUUUUGUUAUUGACUCACAUAUUUCUAAAUUUGAUGAGAAAUCACAAUAAUCACAGAAAACAAGUGUACCCAAUCUCAUGGCAGAGUAGCCAAGUCCGGCAGGGAUAAACGCUGAAGGCAUCUAAGCGUGAAGCCCCCCUCAAGAUGAGAUAUCCCUCCGCAAGGUUAAGACCCCUUAGAGAGUAUGAGGUAGAUAGGGCAGGGGUGUAAGCACAGUAAUGUGUUCAGCUGACUGUCACUAAUCGGUCGAGGGCUUAUCCUA
RNAcentral lists this ribosomal RNA (275 nucleotides) under Lachnospiraceae bacterium. RNAcentral describes it as "partial 23S ribosomal RNA". It matches the Rfam family "Bacterial large subunit ribosomal RNA", at positions 2725 to 2925 of the family's 2925-position model. The record is from RNAcentral. Lineage: Bacteria; Bacillati; Bacillota; Clostridia; Lachnospirales; Lachnospiraceae.